RNAcentral lists this long non-coding RNA (373 nucleotides) under Homo sapiens (human). RNAcentral's name for it is "non-protein coding lnc-VAX2-5:1". The record is from RNAcentral. Lineage: Eukaryota; Metazoa; Chordata; Mammalia; Primates; Hominidae.
UGUGCAGAAGAGCUUCGUGUUAGUGGUGCUCUGGGAGAAUAAAGGAGAAAGGACAGUGAGAGCAAAUGUAUUAACGAAGAGGGCAGCUCCUUUGGGAGGCAAGCUUUUAAGUGUGAUGGAUGCUAUUGUUCACCAGUAUAUGUUUCCUCUCUACUUUGGCGUACAGGAGAAGAUGACAUUUCCCCACCACAUUCCAGGUCAGCAUUCCCAUACGUAUUUUUCUAGUCAAUAAAAUAUGAACAAACGUUCUUCUGGGAAGAAGCAUGUUAAAGCCUUCCUCCUGCUGCAGUCACCAGCAAUUUCCAGAUGAGUUGUGUUCAGCCACUGAAAUCAUAUGGUGUCUUGGUACUGCAGUAUAGGUUGGCCUGUUGUG